This 253-nucleotide ribosomal RNA is filed under the name uncultured bacterium. RNAcentral's name for it is "partial 16S ribosomal RNA". It matches the Rfam family "Bacterial small subunit ribosomal RNA", at positions 524 to 776 of the family's 1533-position model. The record is from RNAcentral.
UACGGAGGGUGCAAGCGUUAUCCGGAAUCACUGGGUUUAAAGGGUCCGUAGGCGGUUUAAUAAGUCAGUGGUGAAAGCCCAUCGCUCAACGGUGGAACGGCCAUUGAUACUGUUAAACUUGAAUUAUUAGGAAGUAACUAGAAUAUGUAGUGUAGCGGUGAAAUGCUUAGAGAUUACAUGGAAUACCAAUUGCGAAGGCAGGUUACUACUAAUGGAUUGACGCUGAUGGACGAAAGCGUGGGUAGCGAACAGG